CGGUAAUUCCAGCUCCAAUAGCGUAUACUAAAGUUGUUGCAGUUAAAAAGCUCGUAGUUGGAUUUCUGCGGGGACGGAGCGGCCGGUCGCAACUUGCGACUCGAGCUAGCGCUUUCCCCGCAUCCUGCCGCGAACCGUGCUACCAUUAGCUUGAUGGCGCUGGGGAUCGGCUCGAUUACUUUGAGAAAAAUAGAGUGUUCAAAGCAGGCCACACGCCUUGAAUAAGUUAGCAUGGAAUAAUGACUAAGGACUUCGGUUCUAUUUUGUUGGUGUUCGGGACUGAAGUAAUGAUUGAUAGGGACAGUUGGGGCGGUCUGUAUUCCAAAGCGAGAGGUGAAAUUCUUAGACCUUCGGAAGACAAACAGCUACGAAAGCGUUCCGCAAGGAUGUUCCCUUUGAUCAAGAACGAAAGUUGGGGGAUCGAAGACGAUCAGAUACCGUCGUAGUCUCAACUAUAAACUAUACCAGCUAGGGAUCGGUCAACGUUUAAUCAUUCGACUUGAUCGGCACCUUAUGAGAAAUCAAAGCAUCUGGGUUCCGGGGGGAGUAUGGUCGCAAGGCUGAAACUUAAAGGAAUUGACGGAAAAACACCACCAACCGUGGAGCCUGUGGCUUAAUUUGACUCAACACGGGAAAACUUACCAGAUCCAAACAUAGUAAGGAUUGACAGAUUGAUAGCUCUUUCUUGAUUCUGUAGAUGGUGGUGCAUGGCCGUUCUUAGUUGAUGGAGUGAUUUGUCUGGUUAAUUCCGUUAACGAACGAGACCCCAGCCUGCUAAAUAGCGCGGCUGAGCUUUGCUCGGUGCGAGCUUCUUAGAGAGACUAUGAUGCGCGAUAGCACAUGGAAGUUUGGGGCAAUAACAGGUCUGUGAUGCCCUUAGAUGUUCUGGGCCGCACACGGGCUACACUGGCGCCUGCAACGAGCAUAUCAGCUGGCCCGAGAGGGUCUUGGCUAAUCUUUUGAACCGGCGCCGUGCUUGGGAUUGACCAUUGCAAUUGUUGGUCAUGCAACGAGGAAUGCCUUGUAAACGCGAGUCAUCAGCUCGCAUUGAAUACGUCCCUGCCCUUUGUACACACCGCCCGUCGCUCCUACCGAUGAAUGUUCCGAUGAAAUUUUCGGAGAGCGCCAGAGAACGGGGCUCUGCCUUGCAGAUCUGGAGGCUCAAAGUCACUUAAAUCUGAACAUUUCGAGGAAAAAGAAGUCGUAACAAGGUAGCCG
RNAcentral lists this ribosomal RNA (1218 nucleotides) under uncultured Rhizaria. Its description in RNAcentral is "SSU rRNA". It matches the Rfam family "Eukaryotic small subunit ribosomal RNA", at positions 577 to 1805 of the family's 1831-position model. The record is from RNAcentral.